AGUGAAGCGGGAUGAGCUCAAAUUUAAAAUCUGGCUGGUUUACUAGUCCGAAUUGUAGUUUAAAGAAGUGUUUUCGGUGGCAGCCUGGGUAUAAAUCCUUUGGAACAGGGUAUCAUAGAGGGUGAGAAUCCCGUCUUUGACUCAGUGCAUGCUACUAUGUGAUACAUUUUCAAAGAGUCGAGUUGUUUGGGAAUGCAGCUCAAAAUGGGUGGUAAAUUUCAUCUAAGGCUAAAUAUUGGCGAGAGACCGAUAGCGAACAAGUACCGUGAGGGAAAGAUGAAAAGAACUUUGAAAAGAGAGUUAAACAGUGCGUGAAAUUGUUGAAAGGGAAACGCUUGACACCAGUCAUGCGAGCGGAAAAUCAGUCUUUUGCAGUGGGGGGUUGUGUGGGAUCGGACCGCAAGGCCGGCCUAUGCUGCAUCUCUGCUGUAAGUGAUGCACUUUUUCGUUUGCAGGCCAACAUCAGUUUCUUCUGCUGGACAAAACUCUUGAGAAGGUAGCAGCUUUGGCUGUGUUAUAGCUCUUGAGCGAUACAGUGGAGGGGACUGAGGUUUUCGCAGCGCGUGCUUUCGGGCAAGGCUGAUUGGGUGCUAUGGGAUCGUUCGGUGUACAAUGCAUGCAUUUUGCGCCGUGUCUUUUCUGUACUCGCUCAACUCGGCUCUUCCGCGCUUAGGAUGUUGGCUUAAUGGUUUUAAUCGACCCGUCUUGAAACACGGACCAAGGAGUCUAACAUAUAUGCAAGUGUUUGGGUGGCAAACCCAUGCGCGUAAUGAAAGUGAACGUAGGUGCCAUCCGCAAGGUGCAGCAUCGACCGAUCUUGAUAUUUUUGGAUAGAUUUGAGUAAGAGCAUAUAUGCUGGGACCCGAAAGAUGGUGAACUAUGCCUGAAUAGGGUGAAGCCAGAGGAAACUCUGGUGGAGGCUCGUAGCGAUUCUGACGUGCAAAUCGAUCGUCAAAUUUGGGUAUAGGGGCGAAAGACUAAUCGA
Molecule: ribosomal RNA, 985 nt
Filed under: Mortierella antarctica
Lineage: Eukaryota; Fungi; Mortierellomycota; Mortierellomycetes; Mortierellales; Mortierellaceae
Description: eukaryotic LSU rRNA
Rfam family: Eukaryotic large subunit ribosomal RNA
Source: RNAcentral